GAUGAACGCUAGCGGCAGGCUUAGUACAUGCAAGUUGAGGGGCAGCAUGAUAUACGCGAGUAUAUUGAUGGCGACCGGCGGACGGGUGAGUAAUAGGUAGGAGACCUACCUCAUACAGGGGGAUAGCAUAGAGAAAUCUGUGGUAAUACCCCAUGAGGUUAUAUGAAUAGAGGCAUAUAAUCAAAGCAUAAGCGAUUAUGCGGUAUGAGAGGGGCCUACUGACCAUUAGCUAGUUGGUGAGGUAAGGGCUCACCAAGGCGAAGAUGGUUAGGGGUUUUGAGAGAGAGACCCCCCACAUUGGAACUGAGAGACGGUCCAGACUCCUACGGGAGGCAGCAGUAGGGAAUAUUGGGCAAUGGGCGAAAGCCUGACCCAGCCAUGCCGCGUGAAGGAAGACGGCCUUAUGGGUUGUAAACUUCUUUACUACGCGAAUAGAGGUUAGUACGAGAUACUAAUAGGAAGUAGUGUAGUAAAAGCAACCGGUAACUCCGUG
This 493-nucleotide ribosomal RNA is filed under the name uncultured bacterium. RNAcentral describes it as "bacterial SSU rRNA". It matches the Rfam family "Bacterial small subunit ribosomal RNA", at positions 28 to 507 of the family's 1533-position model. The record is from RNAcentral.